AUACAUGCAAGUCGAGCGGACCGACGGGAGCUUGCUCCCUUAGGUCAGCGGCGGACGGGUGAGUAACACGUGGGUAACCUGCCUGUAAGACUGGGAUAACUCCGGGAAACCGGGGCUAAUACCGGAUGCUUGAUUGAACCGCAUGGUUCAAUCAUAAAAGGCGGCUUCGGCUGCCGUUUACAGAUGGACCCGCGGCGCAUUAGCUAGUUGGUGAGGUAACGGCUCACCAAGGCGACGAUGCGUAGCCGACCUGAGAGGGUGAUCGGCCACACUGGGACUGAGACACGGCCCAGACUCCUACGGGAGGCAGCAGUAGGGAAUCUUCCGCAAUGGACGAAAGUCUGACGGAGCAACGCCGCGUGAGUGAUGAAGGUUUUCGGAUCGUAAAGCUCUGUUGUUAGGGAAGAACAAGUACCGUUCGAAUAGGGCGGUACCUUGACGGUACCUAACCAGAAAGCCACGGCUAACUACGUGCCAGCAGCCGCGGUAAUACGUAGGUGGCAAGCGUUGUCCGGAAUUAUUGGGCGUAAAGCGCGCGCAGGCGGUUUCUUAAGUCUGAUGUGAAAGCCCCCGGCUCAACCGGGGAGGGUCAUUGGAAACUGGGGAACUUGAGUGCAGAAGAGGAGAGU
RNAcentral lists this ribosomal RNA (629 nucleotides) under Bacillus sp. (in: firmicutes). Its description in RNAcentral is "bacterial SSU rRNA". It matches the Rfam family "Bacterial small subunit ribosomal RNA", at positions 51 to 662 of the family's 1533-position model. Lineage: Bacteria; Bacillati; Bacillota; Bacilli; Caryophanales; Bacillaceae. The record is from RNAcentral.